Molecule: ribosomal RNA, 497 nt
Filed under: uncultured bacterium
Lineage: Bacteria
Description: partial 16S ribosomal RNA
Rfam family: Bacterial small subunit ribosomal RNA
Source: RNAcentral
GAUGAACGCUGGCGGCGUGCCUAAUACAUGCAAGUCGAGCGAACAGAUAAGGAGCUUGCUCCUUUGACGUUAGCGGCGGACGGGUGAGUUACACGUGGAUAACCUACCUAUAAGACUGGGAUAACUUCGGGAAACCGGAGCUAAUACCGGAUAACAUAUUGAACCGCAUGGUUCAAUAGUGAAAGGCGGCUUUGCUGUCACUUAUAGAUGGAUCCGCGCCGUAUUAGCUAGUUGGUAAGGUAACGGCUUACCAAGGCAACGAUACGUAGCCGACCUGAGAGGGUGAUCGGCCACACUGGAACUGAGACACGGUCCAGACUCCUACGGGAGGCAGCAGUAGGGAAUCUUCCGCAAUGGGCGAAAGCCUGACGGAGCAACGCCGCGUGAGUGAUGAAGGUCUUCGGAUCGUAAAACUCUGUUAGCAGGGAAGAACAAAUGUGUAAGUAACUGUGCACAUCUUGACGGUACCUGAUCAGAAAGCCACGGCUAACUACGUG